RNAcentral lists this ribosomal RNA (1211 nucleotides) under metagenome. RNAcentral describes it as "SSU rRNA". It matches the Rfam family "Eukaryotic small subunit ribosomal RNA", at positions 640 to 1790 of the family's 1831-position model. The record is from RNAcentral.
CUAGUAACUCGACACUGUACUUAAUUGAAUGGUGUAGCAGUUCUUCGGAAUUGUCGAUUUAUAUUUUUAGCUCCUCCAUAAUGUGGAAAGGUGUAAAAGUCUUGAAGUGUUAUGAGUGGAUCAAGUUAAGAGUGUUUAUUGGAGUUCUAGUUCAUUUACUUUGAGAAAAUUAGAGUGUUUAAAGCAGCCUCUUGGGGCUCUGAAUACAUUAGCAUGGGAUAAUAGAAUAGGAUUUGAAUAAUAUAUUUGUUGGUUUGAAUUGUUUAAAUAAUGAUUAAUAGGGACAGUUGGGGGUAUUUAUAUUGGAUGGUUAGCGGUGAAAUGCAUGGAUCCAUUCAAGAUAAACUAAAGCGAAAGCAUUUACCAAGGAUGUUUUCAUUAAUCAAGAACGAAAGUUAAGGGAUCGAAGAUGAUCAGAUACCGUCGUAGUCUUAACUAUAAACUAUGCCGACCAGGGAUAUGAGUUGUUAUGAAUGCUCUUAUGAGUAUUCGAUUUCCUCUUGUGGACCUUGUGAGAAAUCAUAAGUUUUUGGGUUCUGGGGGGAGUAUGGUCGCAAGGCUGAAACUUAAAGGAAUUGACGGAGGGGCACCACCAGGAGUGGAGCGUGCGGCUUAAUUUGACACAACACGGGAAAACUUACCAGGUCCAGACAUUAGAAGGAUUGACAGAUUGAUAGCUCUUUCAUGAUUUAAUGGGUGGUGGUGCAUGGCCGUUCUUAGUUGGUGGAGUGAUUUGUCUGGUUAAUUCCGAUAACGAACGAGACCUUUACCAUACUAAAUAGUUUUGCUUAUAUUUUUAUAUAGGUACUAUAACUUCUUAGAGGGACUAUUGGUUCUUAAACCAAAGGAAGUAAAGGCGAUAACAGGUCUGUGAUGCCCUUAGAUGUUCUGGGCUGCACGCGCGCUACAAUGAUAAGCUCAACGAGUAUUUAUUUUAUUAUAUUGCUUCACAGGAAUGUGUGGCUAAUCUUAAACGCUUAUCGUGCUUGGGAUAGAUGAUAGCAAUUAUUUAUCUUGAACCAGGAAUUCCUAGUAAUCGUAUAUCAUCAGUGUGCGAUGAUUACGUCCCUGCCCCUUGUACACACCGCCCGUCGCUGCUACCGAUUGGAUGGUCCGGUGAAAUCCCCGGAUAUCGAUGAAUACUUUGACUUCGUGUUAAAGUUCAUUGAUAGAAGUUGAUUAAACCUUAUCAUCUAGAGGAAGCAAAAGUC